GAUGAACGCUGGCGGCGUGCCUAAUACAUGCAAGUCGAGCGAACGGACGAGAAGCUUGCUUCUCUAAUGUUAGCGGCGGACGGGUGAGUAACACGUGGAUAACCUACCUAUAAGACUGGGAUAACUUCGGGAAACCGUAGCUAAUACCGGAUAAUAUUUUGAACCGCAUGGUUCAAAAGUGAAAGACGGUCUUGCUGUCACUUAUAGAUGGAUCCGCGCUGCAUUAGCUAGUUGGUAAGGUAACGGCUUACCAAGGCAACGAUGCAUAGCCGACCUGAGAGGGUGAUCGGCCACACUGGAACUGAGACACGGUCCAGACUCCUACGGGAGGCAGCAGUAGGGAAUCUCCCGCAAUGGGCGAAAGCCUGACGGAGCAACGCCGCGUGAGUGAUGAAGGUCUUCGGAUCGUAAAACUCUGUUAUUAGGGAAGAACAUAUGUGUAAGUAACUGUGCACAUCUUGACGGUACCUAAUCAGAAAGCCACGGCUAACUACGUG
This 497-nucleotide ribosomal RNA is filed under the name uncultured bacterium. RNAcentral describes it as "partial 16S ribosomal RNA". It matches the Rfam family "Bacterial small subunit ribosomal RNA", at positions 28 to 507 of the family's 1533-position model. The record is from RNAcentral.